Solenopsis invicta (red fire ant) is the source of this 3049-nucleotide long non-coding RNA. RefSeq lists it as uncharacterized. The transcript is spliced from 9 exons. Lineage: Eukaryota; Metazoa; Arthropoda; Insecta; Hymenoptera; Formicidae. The record is from RefSeq and is a predicted model, not a curated record.
GUAGGUAGCGCGGACAAAACACUCGCGCUUGUGCGUGUCCAUACAUUCUGUCGGUGUGAGUGACACAGUAAGUGUGAAACUUCCAGUGAGAACUACCUUGACAAAGUGAGACAACCUUUCAACGAUUUUUGUAUAAACAUUUGAGACUACUUUUUACGACCUAUUGCUGUCAAUCGAAGGAUACAACGAUCGCAAAAUGCCAUUAUUCAAAGUAGAAUCACCUAAUCACAAAAGAAUCAUGAUAAAAGCAAAUAGUAUAUCCGAAAUAAUUGAAAUUGCAAUAAAAAAAUUAAAACUUCCUGAAGACAAUACUUACAAGUUACUUUUACAAAACGAUGGAACAGAGAUAGAUGAUAAUGAUGUGCUACUGGAAUAUGCAGAACAAUCUAAAGAUAUGAUUGUUUUAACGAUUUUAGGUAUAAACAUGUCUUCGGACUAUGAUAAAAAAAAUGAAGAUAACCAAAUUGUUUUAAAUGAAUCUAGUUCGACAAUGCAGAGAAAUGACAUUUCAGAUUCUAGUUCUAUCAGUACAUGUUCUGAAGCAUUAAGUUCAUCAAAUAGAUCAAGUACAAAAGUAAAAUCAAUAAAUCUAGAAGACGGAGUAUGGAGUAAAUUAUCGGAAAGAAUAGUUGCUGCUUGCGUAAGAGGAGAUAAACUGUGUUUUUCAGACAGAAAAGCAGUUAUUCAUCGUAGAAUAUAUGAUUGAUACUCUCGAAAACACGACAAGAAGUAAAGCACAUGAAAUUGCGACAAUUCUCUGCAAUACUUAUCCGAAAACUUUUGCUGAUACAAUUGGUAACGAUGAAAUGUGGGGAAGUGGCUUAGAAACCGUACGGCUUGAAAUUUAUAACGCCUGUCUUUAUAAGAUUAAUUCAAAAAAACGUAAAUCGUUUUCGAAAGCUACGAAUUAUGACAGUGACGAUGCGGAGCAAGAAGAACGUCAGCAGCAAGCUACAUCACGACGUCAAGACGAGUAUGGCUGCGUUGAGUAUGCACCUAUUCUAUUAUAUGAAAAUGCUGAAAGUGAAAAUAAACGACGUACUUUAUUAGAACUUUUCGCCCUUCACGAAAUAAAUCCACAAGUUUUAAAAUUAAUGGAAGAAACGUAUCCAACUCUUCGUGCCGUAUUAAAUGAUAAAAACAGAAAUUUAGAGAUAAUAGCUGCUGAGUGGCCUUUCUUACAAGAAACCGAUUGUUUCUUCCAACACUGUUCUCGAUUAUUAGGAAAAAAUGUUGUUCAAGUCUGGACAAAUUCACUUAGUAACAAGACGAAAUCCAUACGGCAAUAUUUCAAACAUUCACAGAAAAAAAAGCAAAUGAAAUAAAUGAGAUUAUAAACGACUGCAAAACAGCUGUUCAAAUAAGGAAGGAUAAAAUACCAAAACUAUUAGUGAUUUUCCGAUUAUUAAUCUUUUAUUUCAAUGAAAAGGAAAAUUUUCUUUUUAAAAUAAUUGGAAAUGACGUUGAUGAUGCUGAUGUAAUAAAUGCUGCUGACACUGAGUAUCCUGUGCUUAUCAUCAGAGGAAAAUCAUUAUACGACGAGAAUGCAAAAUGUACUGUCAUUAUUAAUAAAAAAGUUUCAAUUACUUCCACGAAUUCUCUGGAAGGAAUCUUGAUAACUUUUCUCGCAUACUACGUUUAUGGAUUUUGCUAUUCACCUAAAAUUGAAAAAUCUCUAGAAUUUAUACAAAGAAUUUUUUUACAAAUAAAUCCACAAAGAGGAGCAAAAAGUGCAUCAAAAGCUCGUCGAUAUAAUAAAUCAUUUGAUGUGCGAGUAUUUAAACUUGCCAAAGAACUUUCGGCUUUUUCUGACCAAUUCAAUUUAACCCAGUGAUACUUAUGGCAAAACGGUCCAUCGAUAUCAGUAAAAUUAAUGGCAUGUUAUUCGCGUUCUGAUACCAGCAGAAAAAUACAUAAAUUCGCCAAUGCUACCAAACAAUAUACCAGGAAGAUACUUGUGAGUUUUGUGAAAUAGGUCUAUGUUAUUUCACGCAAGAUAUAUUGCGGUCGACAAUUAUAAAUAGAGGAACCCGUCACAUCAUGCGAGAAUCUGCCUACACAUCUCGUCCCCGGGAAAGCCGUGGGACAGCAUGUGGUCUACAUCCGAGUAAUAAUAACUAUUAUGUUCCUACCGGUGUAAAUAUAUCUAUGUAAUCGCAAUCUCUUUGCUCUAUUGUUUCCUCUCGCUGCGUCAUUAUCGACGACAUCGGGAUGAUUAACGAUGUCGUCGACGAAGCGAUCGCUUGACCGCUUAAGCCAACCACUUUCCUGUUCGGUCUGCAUCGCACGAGAGGUCAAUGACUUUGGUCUCAUUGGAGGUUUAAAACUUUUACGGAUGUGACGUUGAUGGUGAUAAUAAUUUUAAUCUGAAAUGUAAUUGCACAGAGAUAAUUGAUAGCGAAUAUCAAAAGAGUGAUAAAUUUAAUUACAAAUAGGAGAUUAUGUUAAUGUAAUUACUUAAAAAUUCAGUCACUUAAGAAAGUAAAUAAAAAGCUAACUCAAGUUUGAAAUUUCAUUACUUUAUACUUACAUGGAAAAAAGUGUAAUGAAUUAAAACGUAGUUUGAUCUAAUUAAACAUCGAAUCACUGGCUCUCACAAAUAUAUAUAUAUAUAUAUAUAUAUAUAUAUAUAUAAACGAAUGCCUUCAACGAUGGUAGCUAGAUCUUAAUGCUUAUAUUUGUUUGUGUGAUUUCAUAUAGUUUCCUCAAAUUCAAUAGACUCCGUCGCCAAAUUGUUUUUACGAUCAUAAUACAGCUCUAAAUUAAACAAGAGUUAGUAAUGUAAAGAAUUUAAGUUUAUUUGAAUAUAUGAAAUACUUUUUGUUAAAAAUUUAAGUUUUUGUUUAAAUAAAUAAUAUUUAAUAUAAAAGUGUAUUUAUUCUAUUAUUCGGAAAUUUUCUUAUUCAAACAAUUUUGUCUCUCUAUUAUUUCAGAUAUGAGAGGCUUCACUGUACUUUGAAAGAAAAGACGCAGAAACAUUUUGCUAUGUCCAUGCUGUGUACCGCUUGGAAAUUGAUUAUAAAAAUAAUUGAGAAUGUGAAGCACUAAA